RNAcentral lists this ribosomal RNA (2922 nucleotides) under Klebsiella pneumoniae. RNAcentral's name for it is "23S ribosomal RNA". It matches the Rfam family "Bacterial large subunit ribosomal RNA". The record is from RNAcentral. Lineage: Bacteria; Pseudomonadati; Pseudomonadota; Gammaproteobacteria; Enterobacterales; Enterobacteriaceae.
GGGUUGUGAGGUUAAGCGACUAAGCGUACACGGUGGAUGCCCUGGCAGUCAGAGGCGAUGAAGGACGUGCUAAUCUGCGAAAAGCGUCGGUAAGGUGAUAUGAACCGUUAUAGCCGGCGAUGUCCGAAUGGGGAAACCCAGUGCAAUUCGUUGCACUAUCGUUAACUGAAUACAUAGGUUAACGAGGCGAACCGGGGGAACUGAAACAUCUAAGUACCCCGAGGAAAAGAAAUCAACCGAGAUUCCCCCAGUAGCGGCGAGCGAACGGGGAGCAGCCCAGAGUCUGAAUCAGCUUGUGUGUUAGUGGAACGGUCUGGAAAGUCCGACGGUACAGGGUGAUAGUCCCGUACACCAAAAUGCACAGGUUGUGAACUCGAAGAGUAGGGCGGGACACGUGGUAUCCUGUCUGAAUAUGGGGGGACCAUCCUCCAAGGCUAAAUACUCCUGACUGACCGAUAGUGAACCAGUACCGUGAGGGAAAGGCGAAAAGAACCCCGGCGAGGGGAGUGAAAAAGAACCUGAAACCGUGUACGUACAAGCAGUGGGAGCACCUUCGGGUGUGACUGCGUACCUUUUGUAUAAUGGGUCAGCGACUUAUAUUCUGUAGCAAGGUUAACCGUAUAGGGGAGCCGCAGGGAAACCGAGUCUUAACUGGGCGUUAAGUUGCAGGGUAUAGACCCGAAACCCGGUGAUCUAGCCAUGGGCAGGUUGAAGGUUGGGUAACACUAACUGGAGGACCGAACCGACUAAUGUUGAAAAAUUAGCGGAUGACUUGUGGCUGGGGGUGAAAGGCCAAUCAAACCGGGAGAUAGCUGGUUCUCCCCGAAAGCUAUUUAGGUAGCGCCUCGUGAAUUCAUCUUCGGGGGUAGAGCACUGUUUCGGCUAGGGGGUCAUCCCGACUUACCAACCCGAUGCAAACUACGAAUACCGAAGAAUGUUAUCACGGGAGACACACGGCGGGUGCUAACGUCCGUCGUGAAGAGGGAAACAACCCAGACCGCCAGCUAAGGUCCCAAAGUCAUGGUUAAGUGGGAAACGAUGUGGGAAGGCACAGACAGCCGGAUGUUGGCUUAGAAGCAGCCAUCAUUUAAAGAAAGCGUAAUAGCUCACUGGUCGAGUCGGCCUGCGCGGAAGAUGUAACGGGGCUAAACCAUGCACCGAAGCUGCGGCAGCGACACUAUGUGUUGUUGGGUAGGGGAGCGUUCUGUAAGCCUGCGAAGGUGUGCUGUGAGGCAUGCUGGAGGUAUCAGAAGUGCGAAUGCUGACAUAAGUAACGAUAAAGCGGGUGAAAAGCCCGCUCGCCGGAAGACCAAGGGUUCCUGUCCAACGUUAAUCGGGGCAGGGUGAGUCGACCCCUAAGGCGAGGCCGAAAGGCGUAGUCGAUGGGAAACAGGUUAAUAUUCCUGUACUUGGUGUUACUGCGAAGGGGGGACGGAGAAGGCUAUGUUAGCCGGGCGACGGUUGUCCCGGUUUAAGCAUGUAGGCUGGUUGUCCAGGCAAAUCCGGAUAAUCAAGGCUGAGGUGUGAUGACGAGGCACUACGGUGCUGAAGUAACAAAUGCCCUGCUUCCAGGAAAAGCCUCUAAGCAUCAGGUAACAUUAAAUCGUACCCCAAACCGACACAGGUGGUCAGGUAGAGAAUACCAAGGCGCUUGAGAGAACUCGGGUGAAGGAACUAGGCAAAAUGGUGCCGUAACUUCGGGAGAAGGCACGCUGGUGUGUAGGUGAAGUCCCUGCGGAUGGAGCUGAGACCAGUCGAAGAUACCAGCUGGCUGCAACUGUUUAUUAAAAACACAGCACUGUGCAAACACGAAAGUGGACGUAUACGGUGUGACGCCUGCCCGGUGCCGGAAGGUUAAUUGAUGGGGUUAUCCGUAAGGAGAAGCUCUUGAUCGAAGCCCCGGUAAACGGCGGCCGUAACUAUAACGGUCCUAAGGUAGCGAAAUUCCUUGUCGGGUAAGUUCCGACCUGCACGAAUGGCGUAAUGAUGGCCAGGCUGUCUCCACCCGAGACUCAGUGAAAUUGAACUCGCUGUGAAGAUGCAGUGUACCCGCGGCAAGACGGAAAGACCCCGUGAACCUUUACUAUAGCUUGACACUGAACAUUGAGCCUUGAUGUGUAGGAUAGGUGGGAGGCUUUGAAGCGUGGACGCCAGUCUGCGUGGAGCCAACCUUGAAAUACCACCCUUUAAUGUUUGAUGUUCUAACGUUGGCCCCUUACCGGGGUUGCGGACAGUGUCUGGUGGGUAGUUUGACUGGGGCGGUCUCCUCCCAAAGCGUAACGGAGGAGCACGAAGGUUAGCUAAUCCUGGUCGGACAUCAGGAGGUUAGUGCAAUGGCAUAAGCUAGCUUGACUGCGAGCGUGACGGCGCGAGCAGGUGCGAAAGCAGGUCAUAGUGAUCCGGUGGUUCUGAAUGGAAGGGCCAUCGCUCAACGGAUAAAAGGUACUCCGGGGAUAACAGGCUGAUACCGCCCAAGAGUUCAUAUCGACGGCGGUGUUUGGCACCUCGAUGUCGGCUCAUCACAUCCUGGGGCUGAAGUAGGUCCCAAGGGUAUGGCUGUUCGCCAUUUAAAGUGGUACGCGAGCUGGGUUUAGAACGUCGUGAGACAGUUCGGUCCCUAUCUGCCGUGGGCGCUGGAGAAUUGAGGGGGGCUGCUCCUAGUACGAGAGGACCGGAGUGGACGCAUCACUGGUGUUCGGGUUGUCAUGCCAAUGGCACUGCCCGGUAGCUAAAUGCGGAAGAGAUAAGUGCUGAAAGCAUCUAAGCACGAAACUUGCCCCGAGAUGAGUUCUCCCUGAGACUUUAAGUCUCCUGAAGGAACGUUGAAGACGACGACGUUGAUAGGCCGGGUGUGUAAGCGCAGCGAUGCGUUGAGCUAACCGGUACUAAUGAACCGUGAGGCUUAACCUUACAACGCCGAAG